GCCGGGAUGGCGGAAUUGGUAGACGCGCUGGCUUCAAACCCCAGUGGCUUCGCCGUGAGGGUUCGAGUCCCUCUCCCGGCACCA
This 84-nucleotide transfer RNA is filed under the name uncultured bacterium. RNAcentral describes it as "tRNA-Leu". It matches the Rfam family "tRNA". From Rfam's summary of the family: Transfer RNA (tRNA) molecules are approximately 80 nucleotides in length. Their secondary structure includes four short double-helical elements and three loops (D, anti-codon, and T loops). Further hydrogen bonds mediate the characteristic L-shaped molecular structure. tRNAs have two regions of fundamental functional importance: the anti-codon, which is responsible for specific mRNA codon recognition, and the 3' end, to which the tRNAs corresponding amino acid is attached (by aminoacyl-tRNA synthetases). tRNAs cope with the degeneracy of the genetic code in two manners: having more than one tRNA (with a specific anti-codon) for a particular amino acid; and 'wobble' base-pairing, i.e. permitting non-standard base-pairing at the 3rd anti-codon position. The record is from RNAcentral.